UAAAAGUCGUAACAAGGUCUCCGUAGGUGAACCUGCGGAGGGAUCAUU
RNAcentral lists this ribosomal RNA (48 nucleotides) under Cercospora armoraciae. RNAcentral's name for it is "partial 18S ribosomal RNA". It matches the Rfam family "Eukaryotic small subunit ribosomal RNA", at positions 1783 to 1830 of the family's 1831-position model. Lineage: Eukaryota; Fungi; Ascomycota; Dothideomycetes; Mycosphaerellales; Mycosphaerellaceae. The record is from RNAcentral.